AGUCACUGACAUUAGAUACCCGCGUAGUCCAGGGUGUAAACGCUGCCGACUUGGUGUUGGAGGCCCUUCGGGGGCAUUCAGUGCCGGAGAGAAGUUGUUAAGUCGGCCACUUGGGAGUACGUCCGCAAGGAUGAAACUUAAAGGAAUUGGCGGGGGAGCACCGCAACGGGAGGAGCGUGCGGUUUAAUUGGAUUCAACACCGGAAAACUCACCAAGGGCGACUGUUACAUGAAAGCCAGGCUAAUGACCUUGCUUGAUUUUCAG
This 264-nucleotide ribosomal RNA is filed under the name uncultured archaeon. RNAcentral describes it as "partial 16S ribosomal RNA". It matches the Rfam family "Archaeal small subunit ribosomal RNA", at positions 716 to 982 of the family's 1478-position model. The record is from RNAcentral.